RNAcentral lists this ribosomal RNA (1847 nucleotides) under hot springs metagenome. RNAcentral describes it as "bacterial LSU rRNA". It matches the Rfam family "Bacterial large subunit ribosomal RNA", at positions 1141 to 2925 of the family's 2925-position model. The record is from RNAcentral.
CUGACCGGCCGAGGAGCCCUGCGCGGAAGAUUCAACGGGGCUAAGCCGGGCGCCGAAGCUGCGGGCUUGGCGGAACUGCCUAUAAAGGCGUUCCGUCAGGCGGUAGGGGAGCGUUCCGCCUGCUGUAAAGCCCGACCGAAAGGACGGGUGGAGCGGGCGGAAGUGAGAAUCCCGGCACGAGUAGCGAUAAGGCCGGUGAGAAUCCGGCCCGCCGGAAGCCCAAGGUUUCCGACGCAACGCUCGUCGGCGUCGGGUUAGGCGGUCCUAAGCCGAGGCCGUUCGGCGUAGGCGAUGGGCAGCCGGUCGACAUUCCGGCCCCACCGACCUCCGCCAUCAGGGAUGGGGGACGCUCCCAAGGGAGCCUACGCGGCGAUGGUCGUCCGCGGCGACCGUGGAGUGGGUCAUCCGAAAGGAUGGCUCGCUUGGCGGGAGCGAGCCGCCUUUGUGCGGCGAAGUGGCGCCCCAAGGGAGCCAAGAAAAGCCCUUACCGAGUCCAUCCCCAAAAGGGAUGGCGCGGAGCGUCGGUGACCGUACCGGAAACCGCCACAGGUGGGCGAGGAGAGUAUCCACAGGCGCGCGGGAUAACCCCCGCCAAGGAACUCUGCAAAAUGUCCCCGUAACUUCGGGAGAAGGGGAGCCGUAGUAGGGUGAAAGGGCCUUCGCGCCCGAGUAGCCCGAGGCGGUCGCAGAUAAGCGGCCGGGGCGACUGUUUAACAAAAACACAGGUUCCUGCCAACCCGAAAGGGGAGGUAUAGGGGCCGACGCCUGGCCAGUGCCCGAAGGUUAAGGGGACGGGUUCGCCGGGUUUUCGCCCGGCAAAGCUCGCGCCCCGAAGCCCGGGUAAACGCCGGCCGUAACCCUGACGGUCCUAAGGUAGCGAAAUUCCUUGUCGGGUAAGUUCCGACCCGCACGAAAGGCGUAACGACUUCGGCGCUGUCUCGGCGGGGGGCCCGGUGAAACUGUGGUGUCCGUGAAGACGCGGACUACCCGCGGCGGGACGGAAAGACCCCGUGGAGCUUUACUGCAGCCUGGCCUUGGGCUUUGGGGCGGGAUGCAGAGAAUAGGUGGGAGCCUGUGAAGCUCGCCCUCCGGGGCGGGUGGAGGCGCCAGUGGAAUACCACCCUUCCCGCUCUUGGGUCCUAACUUGGUCCCGUGAAUCCGGGCCAAGGACAGGGUCAGGUGGGCAGUUUGGCUGGGGCGGCGGCCUCCUAAAAGGUAACGGAGGCGUCCAAAGGUCCCCUCAGGCGGGAUGGAAAUCCGCCGUGGAGUGCAAAGGCAUAAGGGGGCCUGACUGUGAGGCCUACAAGCCGAGCAGCCGCGAAAGCGGGGCUUAGUGACCCGGCGGUUUGGGAGUGGGACCGCCGCCGAUCAACGGAUAAAAGCUACCCCGGGGAUAACAGGCUAAUGGCGCCCGAGCGUCCCCAGCGACGGCGCCGUUUGGCACCUCGAUGUCGGCUCAUCGCAUCCUGGGGCUGAAGCCGGUCCCAAGGGUUGGGCUGUUCGCCCAUUAAAGCGGUACGUGAGCUGGGUUCAGACCGUCGUGAGACAGGUCGGUCCCUAUCCGCCGCGGGCGCAGGAGGCUUGAGGGGGGCUCGCCCUAGUACGAGAGGACCGGGCGGGACCAGCCUCUGGUGUCCCGGCUGUCGCGCCAGCGGCACGCGCCGGGUAGCCAUGCUGGGUCGGGAUAACCGCUGAAAGCAUCUAAGCGGGAAGCCCACCCCAAGAUAAGGCCUCCCACGGGGUUAACCCGGUAAGGGCCCGGGAAGACUACCCGGUUGAUGGGCCGGAGGUGGAAGCCCAGCAAUGGGUGGAGCUGACCGGUCCCAAUAGCCCGAGGGCUUGACUGU